UAUCUCUGUAGAGUCUGCAUAUCAAUAAGCGGAGGAAAAGAAACUAACUAGGAUUCCCUUAGUAACGGCGAGUGAAGCGGGAAGAGCUCAAAUUUGAAAUCUUCAAGGUUUUACCUUGACGAAUUGUAGUUUAAAGAAGUGUUUUCUGUUGGUAGUUUUGGUAAAAGUUCUUUGGAAUAGGACAUCAUAGAGGGUGAGAAUCCCGUAUUUGACCAUUACUUCCAGCGUUGUGAUACACUUUCAAAGAGUCGGAUUGUUUGGGAAUGCAGUCCAAAAUGGGUGGUAAACUUCAUCUAAAGCUAAAUAUUGGCGAGAGACCGAUAGCGAACAAGUACCGUGAGGGAAAGAUGAAAAGAACUUUGAAAAGAGAGUUAAACAGUACGUGAAAUUGUCAAAAGGGAAGCGUUUGACACCAGUGUUGUUUUCUCGAAAAUCAAUUAAAAAAAGUUGGAUUUUGUAUUGUUAAGACCUUAUCAGCUUACUGUACUCUUUUCUUGCUUUUUUUAAUGCACUUUUCGUUUAACAAGUCAACAUCAAUUUCUUUUGUUGUAAAAGAGUCAUUGGAAGGUGGCUUUCACUUCGGUGAAAGUGUUUAUAGCCUUUGGCUUCUGCAAUCGGAGAGAUUGAGGUCUGCAGCGUAGAUCCUUCGGGGCUAGAUACGUAGAUGCUAAGUUAUAGUUUUUUAUAGACAACUUGUUGACUAUAAUUAAUCAUGUAGCUUACUCGUUUGCGCUAUUUUACCUACGCUUAGGAUGUUGAUAGUCACAGCGUGUAC
Molecule: ribosomal RNA, 775 nt
Filed under: uncultured Neocallimastigales
Lineage: Eukaryota; Fungi; Neocallimastigomycota; Neocallimastigomycetes; Neocallimastigales
Description: partial large subunit ribosomal RNA
Rfam family: Eukaryotic large subunit ribosomal RNA
Source: RNAcentral